RNAcentral lists this long non-coding RNA (1192 nucleotides) under Numida meleagris (helmeted guineafowl). RNAcentral describes it as "lncRNA (ENSNMEG00000021999.1)". Lineage: Eukaryota; Metazoa; Chordata; Aves; Galliformes; Numididae. The record is from RNAcentral.
AUGUUCAUCUUCACCGUUAACUUCCCACAUGGUUUUUCUCUGCUAUACAAAGAAGAGCUGAAGGAGGGUCACCAGAGGCCACCACACCCUGGUGGCUCCUACUGCAGGCACCUCCGUGUUUGGGAAAUCUCACAGCUACACAGACUGGCGGGGAAAAGUGAGUUCCUAGCUGCUGGGGCAGCUCAGAAACACCAGAGAAUUUUGAUCUGGGACACAGAAAAGGCAAAGUUUGCCUGGCUUUGCCUUCCCAAGCAGCUGAUCUGGAAUGAACUGGAAAGCCCACAUGCACGGUUCUCCCCUUUGGCCUGCGCGCAUGGGCCUGCUGCCGUGUGAAGCGGGAUAGGGGGAGGUGGAAACGCAGCGGUGAUUUCCCCUGGUUCUGUUUGUGAUUCCAGCUGUGCUUACUUCUCUUUCUGACGGUUGGAGGGAACUGUGACUUAUUUGUUCUAUCAAGAACACGUUGUUCCUCUUCCUACUUCACCUGUCAUUGGAUUGCUACAGGGUAGCACUUUAAACAUUGGUGGAACAAAGGGGACACCUUAAUUUAAGUGUAAAAGAAUGCUUUCUUUCUACCUAACAAGUGAUAGCUAGCUAGUAGAAUCAUUUCUUUGCACCUCCCAGCUGUGUGAAUCAUGAUUAUUCAUCUGAGAAGGAGACUUUGAUCCCUCUGCAUGUACUUACCAGUUAUUUAACUGAUACACUCCUGCAUGGACUCAUGCUGAUAUGACUUAACUUCCUUCAGCUCCUGCAAUCAUGAUUCCAAAUUCCUAAAAACACUGCUGUACUGCUGGCAAGACACCUUUGCUUUGGUUGCAAAGGAAACAUGUUCUGUAGCACGGGCAGAAAGAGCUUUGCUUAGGGACAGUCUGAUCCCAGCUGUAACAGGAUAUAUCUGGGAUCUGGUAGUGAAAUACCAUUGUUAGGUAUCAGGGGACCGCCCUGCUCAGCUGCCCAUGAAGUCAGGAUGUCCUUAAGGACAGCAAGAAUGAGGACUUUUUUUUUUAGGACUAUAUUAAGUGUCUUCAAAAAUAGAAACUUCACAUCAAGGCUCAUCAUGCCUUGACACGUGUUUCCUCCUAUGUCCCUUUGUGCCCUCUUUUGUUUUGUGUUUUGGGUUUUUUUAGUGUUUUUUAAUGUUUUCCUUUAGUAGAAAAUCACUCUUUUGCUUAUAUUUAAAAAAAAAAAAAAGAAG